This is a long non-coding RNA of Cyanistes caeruleus (blue tit), 1824 nucleotides long. RefSeq lists it as uncharacterized. The record is from RefSeq and is a predicted model, not a curated record. Lineage: Eukaryota; Metazoa; Chordata; Aves; Passeriformes; Paridae.
CUGCUAUUUGCUGUAGGAAAUAUCACUGCUUUCUCAUUCCAAUUGCCAUUAGCAAUUGCAGCAGCUGCGGUACAGGACCCAGGGAUUUUCAGCUGAAGUCUAAAUGCAGUUGACAACUGUAUGAAUCUCAGAGCCAGGAUGCUUCAAGCACCAUAGAUCUAAAAAAGACAUUGAUUUGCUCUCCUCCAGCCUCUCUUAUCUCCUACUUAUGAAAAUAUCUGGUGAAUAGUACAUCAUCUGCUUGCUCCACAGCCUAAGUGCCUCAGAGCAGCCACUCAGGUUCAGCUAUGACAAAUACGUGGGGCGACUCUGAGGGAUAGUAACACGCAGGCGCCUUUAAGCAAAGUUCAAGCAGCUCCUAAAUUAACCGGAGCGAAUCCCCGAAGAUGCAGUAUUUAUGCACUGAAGCAGGAAGGGAGGGCUCUCAUCUCACCACUCUCAUCAGCCAUCACAGCCCAGGAAGCAAGAGAGAGAAAAUAAGAGUUAUUUACCUUUUGCUAAUUGGGAGCUGGGCAGCUCAGGAGUUGGAGGUGGCAGAAGGAAGGCGAUGGUUGGCCCAAAGGGGAGUUCAUUCACCCGGGUAAUGGGCUCUUGGCACAGCCACGGGCAAUACGGGAAAGCCACGCUCUGGGAUUGGAGAUAUUGUUAAAGUCGAAUUAAAGAUGGUAUUGAAGUCACUUUGGUGUGUUUUAUGAGAAAACCUGUGGGGUUCACAAAGGCACCGAGUGCCGAGGCUCGUCUCCCCCUCCCGCCCGAGGAAUUUCCACCACAGAAAUGCUCGGAUUUUUCCCUGUGGAAAUUCUCCAAAGGGAUCACAGCAAAGCUAAAAGAAAAGGCCAAAGGAGGGAAACCACUUCUCGUGGCAACUUUUGCAUUUGACAGUUCAAAGCAGGAGAGCAGCAGCAUUUGUCAGGAGCGCUGGGAGGGAAGCAGUAAUUGCCUGGAAGCAGCCACAGAUGCAGGGCUCACUCCAGCUGCUGCUGCAUCGCUAAGAGUCUCUUCCAAGGGAUGGAUGUUUGAAAGAUGUGAGGAACAUUGGGAAGACCAAGAGAACACUUCUGCAAUAAACCUCUUUUUGAGUCUGGGAUCAAUUGAAAUUAGGUAUUUCAUUCAUCACUGGAUCGUGUAGAAAGCCUGAGCUGAAUAAAACCUUCUGAAAGAAGAUGAGGAGACACACUCUGCCUUGUAGAUUAUUUUACAGCUGCUGAAGCCAUUUGUUUCCUCUGCCUGUUUUCCAAAAACUUGGAAAAUUAACCAUGUACCAGGAGGUGUAUCAUCUACUUUUUGCCAAAUCACAUGGAAAGAAAUUCCUUAUUAAGGGAGCCACCUAAGAAUAUUUACUUUAAGAAUAAAUUACUGGAUGAUUUGCUGGAGGAGCUCCAGCAAGGCAGGUUUGGGCUGGGGUCUGAGGGCUCUCAGGGCAGGUACAAAGCUGUGAGAGCCUUUUCAAAGCUGGGGUGGGGGAUCCAGGUUUUGCUUGUUGCUGGAAUUUGGGAGCAUCAGAGCAUUCGUGAAACUCCCCCACGCAUCCCCUUCCUGAGUCAUUCAAUCCCCCAAGCUACAGGUAUUUGUUAUCCAAACCCUACCCCAGCUGAGGUCUCCUGGGAGCCUCUGGCAAAGCUGCUGCCCAAAACAGUGUUUGUAAACCCAAGGAGAUAUUUGUGGGCACGGGAAGGCUGCCCAGACACGGCACCCAGCAGGAUCCUGCCUUCCACAGGGAUCCCUGCCUGCCCCUGCCCUGCCGAGCCAAGGGGGCCUUUGCAUGGAGGUACAAGAGGUAUAAGCAGAUAUGGGCACAGGUGUGGAUGGAGUAGUUGUGCAAAA